This 506-nucleotide ribosomal RNA is filed under the name Pediopsis kurentsovi. RNAcentral's name for it is "partial large subunit ribosomal RNA". The stretch from base 373 to 506 matches the Rfam family "Bacterial large subunit ribosomal RNA", at positions 2473 to 2607 of the family's 2925-position model. Lineage: Eukaryota; Metazoa; Arthropoda; Insecta; Hemiptera; Cicadellidae. The record is from RNAcentral.
ACAUUUCUUUUAGUUUUUGUUAAAGGUAAUUUCUGCCCAAUGAUUAAAUUUAAAUGGCUGCAGUAUUUUGACUGUACAAAGGUAGCAUAAUAACUAGUCUUUUAAUUGGGGACUUGAAUGAAGGAAAAAAUGAGAUAUUAAUUUUAUUUAAAAUAUUAUUAGAAUUUAAUUUUUAAGUUAAAAAGCUUAAUUUUUUUAUAGGGACGAUAAGACCCUAUAGAACUUUACUAAAUAUGUGUAUAUUUUAGUUUAGUUAAAGUUAAUUAGUUUAAUUGGGGUGAUUAAUAAAUUUAUUUUACUUUAUUUUUUUUAUUCAUUUAUAUAUGUUUUUAUGUUCCAUAAUUUUUGAUUGAAAGUUAAAGUUACCUUAGGGAUAACAGCGUAAUUUUAAUGGGGAGUUCAUAUCUAUAUUAAAGUUUGCGACCUCGAUGUUGAAUUAAGAUAAAAUUAAGGGGUAGAUUCUUUAUAUUUAAGUCUGUUCGACUUUUAAAUUCUUACGUGAUCUG